Molecule: non-coding RNA, 1153 nt
Organism: Lolium perenne
Lineage: Eukaryota; Viridiplantae; Streptophyta; Magnoliopsida; Poales; Poaceae
Source: RefSeq, a predicted model, not a curated record
AUGGAUGUUGUGCCUCUCCCUCACAUUGUUCACUUGUAUUUGGCAAGAAUGGAGCCGGCCAAUUAUGUUGGCAUGGCAAUUUCGGCCAGCCACUUUCCUCCUCACUUUCUUCUCUUGCAAGACUUGCCUCUCAACUACCCCAACAAUUAAAUGGGCAGCCACCCAUCCUAGCCAAUCAAAAAGGAGGCAGCCAACCCCCUCUCCCUCUAUAAAUGGCCCUUGGCCGGCCACCUCCACUCCUCUUGCUCUCAUUUUUCUUCUCUCCACUCACUCCUCCACCUUAUCUACUCCCUCACACUCUUCUCCUACUCUCCCCCAUGAAAAUGCAGCUCCACCUAGCUCCCAUGGCCGGCCAUGGCCAUGGAAAGAACUCCAAGAUGAAGCCCCCUCCUCCCUCAAGCUCCUCCUCACCAUGAGAGCCUCCCUCUCCAUCUUCUCCCCAACCCUAGAUGGUUUAAUCUCCUCUUCUUCUUCCUCCAUUGCUAAGAUUGGAUCUUGAUGCAGGUGCAUGUUGGUACAAGCAUGGAGAAGCUUGAGCUAUCCUCAGAUCUGAAGUUCUUGAGCAAAGUUCGUCCAAAUCCUUGCAGUAAUUUCUGCUAUCUUGCUGUUUCAGAUUCUGGUACGAACUUGUAAAAUCCACCAAAUCUCGUGCGCAGAUCCAAAUCGAGUUAUUCAAAGUUCCGCAGAUAGAUACGGAAAAGAUCUACAACUUGGCGUUGGUCUCAUCCUCAAAUUCGUUACGGAUUGUCCGUGGUCAAGAUCUGGUCAGAUCUGACUUUGUCGAAUUAAACCAGGAGCUUGGGAACGAAUCUUUGAGUGAAACAAAUUGGACGCGAGCAAUUCCGGAGAAGAAGAAGAAGUGGAAUUGGACAAGGAUUUUAUUUAUAUUGUUGGGAUUCUUAUUUUGAUAGACUUGAAGAAGUACAGGGACAAAUAAGCCAAGGCAAGCCAUUUACUUUGAUCCAUCGUUCUCUAUGUUCUUGAUUGAGAUCUUGCCAUCCUUUGGUCUCUUGGCUCCUUGUGUUCCUUGGGUUUUCGAUUACUUUGUUUCUUUACAUACUUGCCACCAAGUAUGUAAGGUUCUCCUUGUUACUUUGCAUACCUACUCUAAGUAUGCGAAUUACGUUCAUCGCCUUUUGACACCUCUAAUUCU